AUCGGGGCAGGGUGAGUCGACCCCUAAGGCGAGGCCGAAAGGCGUAGUCGAUGGGAAACAGGUUAAUAUUCCUGUACUUGGUGUUACUGCGAAGGGGGGACGGAGAAGGCUAUGUUGGCCGGGCGACGGUUGUCCCGGUUUAAGCGUGUAGGCUGGUUUUCCAGGCAAAUCCGGAAAAUCAAGGCUGAGGCGUGAUGACGAGGCACUACGGUGCUGAAGCAACAAAUGCCCUGCUUCCAGGAAAAGCCUCUAAGCAUCAGGUAACAUCAAAUCGUACCCCAAACCGACACAGGUGGUCAGGUAGAGAAUACCAAGGCGCUUGAGAGAACUCGGGUGAAGGAACUAGGCAAAAUGGUGCCGUAA
RNAcentral lists this ribosomal RNA (363 nucleotides) under Escherichia coli. Its description in RNAcentral is "partial 23S ribosomal RNA". It matches the Rfam family "Bacterial large subunit ribosomal RNA", at positions 1368 to 1733 of the family's 2925-position model. The record is from RNAcentral. Lineage: Bacteria; Pseudomonadati; Pseudomonadota; Gammaproteobacteria; Enterobacterales; Enterobacteriaceae.